RNAcentral lists this ribosomal RNA (950 nucleotides) under Mycolicibacterium aurum. Its description in RNAcentral is "bacterial SSU rRNA". It matches the Rfam family "Bacterial small subunit ribosomal RNA", at positions 85 to 1049 of the family's 1533-position model. Lineage: Bacteria; Bacillati; Actinomycetota; Actinomycetes; Mycobacteriales; Mycobacteriaceae. The record is from RNAcentral.
GGGUACUCGAGUGGCGAACGGGUGAGUAACACGUGGGUGAUCUGCCCUGCACUUUGGGAUAAGCCUGGGAAACUGGGUCUAAUACCGAAUAGGACUACGGCCUGCAUGGGUUGUGGUGGAAAGCUUUUGCGGUGUGGGAUGGGCCCGCGGCCUAUCAGCUUGUUGGUGAGGUUACGGCUCACCAAGGCGACGACGGGUAGCCGGCCUGAGAGGGUGACCGGCCACACUGGGACUGAGAUACGGCCCAGACUCCUACGGGAGGCAGCAGUGGGGAAUAUUGCACAAUGGGCGCAAGCCUGAUGCAGCGACGCCGCGUGAGGGAUGACGGCCUUCGGGUUGUAAACCUCUUUCGCCAGGGACGAAGCGCAAGUGACGGUACCUGGAGAAGAAGGACCGGCCAACUACGUGCCAGCAGCCGCGGUAAUACGUAGGGUCCGAGCGUUGUCCGGAAUUACUGGGCGUAAAGAGCUCGUAGGUGGUUUGUCGCGUUGUUCGUGAAAACUCACAGCUUAACUGUGGGCGUGCGGGCGAUACGGGCAGACUGGAGUACUGCAGGGGAGACUGGAAUUCCUGGUGUAGCGGUGGAAUGCGCAGAUAUCAGGAGGAACACCGGUGGCGAAGGCGGGUCUCUGGGCAGUAACUGACGCUGAGGAGCGAAAGCGUGGGGAGCGAACAGGAUUAGAUACCCUGGUAGUCCACGCCGUAAACGGUGGGUACUAGGUGUGGGUUUCCUUCCUUGGGAUCCGUGCCGUAGCUAACGCAUUAAGUACCCCGCCUGGGGAGUACGGCCGCAAGGCUAAAACUCAAAGAAAUUGACGGGGGCCCGCACAAGCGGCGGAGCAUGUGGAUUAAUUCGAUGCAACGCGAAGAACCUUACCUGGGUUUGACAUGCACAGGACGUGCCUAGAGAUAGGUAUUCCCUUGUGGCCUGUGUGCAGGUGGUGCAUGGC